Oxyura jamaicensis (ruddy duck) is the source of this 1136-nucleotide long non-coding RNA. RefSeq lists it as uncharacterized. The transcript is spliced from 3 exons. The record is from RefSeq and is a predicted model, not a curated record. NCBI's taxonomy places the organism in Eukaryota, Metazoa, Chordata, Aves, Anseriformes, Anatidae.
GAGACUUGGCUGCAGACUCUUACUCCAGUGAAGAAGCUGUCAAUGAGAUUCACCCUAUCCCAAAGACAGAGCUCAGAGUAGCCUAAGAAAAAUGAAGAUGUCAUGAUUAUGGAGGAAAAGUUUGGAUCGAAAACCAAGAGUCCUAUUCCCAAGCAGAAUUUCUGUGGCCUUCACAUUGCCAAGGUUGAUGCCCCAGCUGCAGUGGGAGACACGUAGCUUGUAUACGACCUGAUUCUGACACUCCUCAUCUGCUCUAAAGCACAGUCAGGACAGCUCACAUACCCAAGUCUCAGCAUUUCGAGAAGAAGCCUGACAGCCUGGAGAAUAAAUGGAGCAAACAGAGAUAAUGCAGUAACCUGCGGCUUUUAGUCUCGAAGUGAUACGAGGGGCCAGUCGGAGUUUAAAUAAAGGAUAAAGCAUUAAAUCUUCGGGGGCAAUUAACUAUGUCAUUUACUGAGAGCCUCCUCUGACUGCGGCUCGUCUCCAUUCCUAUUCCUGUAUAGUAGUGUGACGUGAUGCUGUGAUUUUGUGAUGGACCCAAUCCCUGCAAGAGGUGGCACCACAGCACCACGAAUGUCACCCCACUGGGCUGGGUGGGCUCGUGGGGACAAACAUAGCUGGGCUGCUGCUCUUAUGGGACUGUCUCCUGCCUGCACCAAGCCCCCAGCAGAUCCUCAGUUUUAUCAGCUGGAAAGGGCCAGGAUGAGCCAGGGAAUGAAUUAAAUCUUCCUCUCAGAAUCUAUGGAAAACCAAAUGUAAAUCCCUCACAGGACAGUGACAGGAGAGCACCGUGGGCAUUUCCCUUCAGCUCUAAAAGCACUUAGUUAGAUUAGAGUCAUGCCCUAAAUAAUUUCUACCCCUGAUUUAUUCCUCAUAGUGGUUAUGGGCUAUGGGAAAGCAGUCCUCCUGCAAAUUCCCAUGUCCGUCUUUUUUCAGCUUACUUUGGAAAUGCAGAUCUGGAUUGUCAUCUCUCUUCCCAUUCAACAACUUGUGGAGUUUCUUACUUAAAUCUGUGUAUUGAUUUCAAACCUUUGCUUUAUCACAGCUUACUUGUCCAAAGUGGCUGAGUAGAUUUACUUUGGUGCUUGGCCAACGUGAAUUCUUGAAAUCUGCAAUGUUAAUAUACGAAAUGAAAU